AGUUAGGCUGCCAAGCCUUGUUUGGAGGAAGUCCAGCUAUGAAGGGAGUUGCCUUAUUCUUCAUAGCUCAGUUCAGAAAAAAACCAGGCAGCAGCCUGAGUAGUUUAAAAAUAAGCCUUAUUUAUUAUCAUGCAUUGGUUCACAGCAGCAGUAGCAGUAAAAACUAUGCAGGCAAAACAGUGUUUUGGAUUUGAAGGGGACACCUCUAAACCCUAGAAAUUAAUAAAUGGUAGGAUUUGGAUGAUUUGAAAUGAUAGAAAGGCCUCUAGCGGGCUUCAGCUUGCACGGGGCAGGAGCCUAGUGAGAUUUCUUUUGUAUUAUUUCUUUGCACCAUCACUGUGUGUGACCUUAAAGAAGAGGUUCCUGCCCCGAGGGGCUUACAAUCUUUAUUUUGACACAGGGAGGCAAACGUGAUAGGCUGAGUUCCAGGGUGAAUCCUGAGUCCUGCUGUGAGACAUAAGCCAGCGUCUCUGCGUUUAGGCUUUCAGACAUUUCCCAUCUGUAACCUCUUUCUCUGUUUUUAUUUUCCUUUCUGUCUGCCAGGUCCAAAGCCAGGUCGCACACAGAGGCUGCUGUGGCUCGGGGAAGAAGGAGAAACCGCCAUGGAAGUUGUGGUCAAUUAAUUCCAUGGGGAAUCCAUUCCCCACGUGUGGCAGGAGGUCAUGGCGAAACAGGACUGGGGUGGGGGAGGGAACAGGCCCGUCUCAACCCAGCCCCUCACCCCACUACUUCCGAGCCAGGGGUUGGGCCGUCAUGUGCCCAGGCAGGAGCAGCGAGCGUCAGCAGUCAGUGGUGACUAUCAGCAUCGCCCUUGAGCCAGUGCCACCAACUGGGCUCAUCCACUUCAGCCCCGACUGGGCUAAGUGAGCUGGGUAGCACUUCCAGAGACCACCUUCUGCACAGGAACAGGUCAAAGUGCUGUGGACUCACAGCUUAGAGUUGUGAGCACCGGAUUCACUUCCACAAGAAGACAGUCGUCGCACAGCAGAGUACAGCAGACUCUAGCAGAGUAUAUAAACAACUCGGAGAGCAGCUCUGUAGAAUAUCUUCUUUUAUUCUAUCUACAACUAUACAAACUAUAUACAGAGCUUAAUAGGUCUAUGCAUAAAUAAAUGCAGCACUGCACUGAGUGUCUGCAGCUGCUCUUAGCAGCAACCUUAUCUCUACACACGAUCUCUAACACUCAGUCUCUCUCUCUCUCCGACACUGACUGACUGACUGACUGACUUGGUGCUGGAGCAAAAUAAGUAGAGAGCAGAACACGCCUCCUCCUCUCUGGAGAAUCAGCAGACUCCUCAGGAGAUUCUUGGAUAUGGGAGGGGUGAAAUCUCAUCAGUGAUGUGGGCAUGGGCAGCAUACAAGGGCGCUUGUUCUGCCUACCUCCUUCCCUGC
Podarcis lilfordi (Lilford's wall lizard) is the source of this 1392-nucleotide non-coding RNA. The record is from the annotation of a GenBank genome assembly. Lineage: Eukaryota; Metazoa; Chordata; Lepidosauria; Squamata; Lacertidae.